GUUAUAGGAUCAAGCGAAGAAGUGCAUAUGAUGGAUGCCUUGGCGAUCAGAGGCGAUGAAAGACGCGGUAGCCUGCGAAAAGCUUCGGGGAGCUGGAAACAAGCUUUGAUCCGUAGAUGUCCGAAUGGGGAAACCCACCGUAGUAAUACGGUAUCCCAUGCUGAAUACAUAGGCAUGUGGAGGCGAACCGAGUGAACUGAACCAUCUCAGUAACUCGAGGAAAAGAAAUCAACCGAGAUUCCUUAAGUAGUGGCGAGCGAAACCGGACCAGCCUGGAUGUUUUAGCGUAGUGAAUAGUCGAAUGGAAUGGAAAGUCCAGCCGUAGCAGGUGAUAGCCCUGUAGGCGAAAUUCAGUACGUGGAACUAAGCAUCGAACAAGUAGGGCGGGACACGUGAAAUCCUGUCUGAAUAUGGGGGGACCAUCCUCCAAGGCUAAAUACUACUGAUCGACCGAUAGUGAACCAGUACCGUGAGGGAAAGGCGAAAAGAACCCCGGAGAGGGGAGUGAAAUAGAACCUGAAAUCGUAUGCAUACAAACAGUAGGAGCACCUUCGUGGUGUGACUGCGUACCUUUUGUAUAAUGGGUCAGCGACUUAUAUUCAGUGGCAAGCUUAACCGUAUAGGGUAGGCGUAGCGAAAGCGAGUCUUUAAUAGGGCGUUUCAGUCGCUGGGUAUAGACCCGAAACCGGGCGAUCUAUCCAUGAGCCAGGUUGAAGGCACGGUAACACGUGCUGGAGGACCGAACCCACUAAUGUUGAAAAAUUAGGGGAUGACUUGUGGAUCGGAGUGAAAGGCUAAUCAAGCUCGGAGAUAGCUGGUUCUCCUCGAAAGCUAUUUAGGUAGUGCCUCGUAUUCAUCACCGGGGGUAGAGCACUGUUUCGGCUAGGGGGUCAUCCGCGACUUACCAAACCGAUGGCAAACUCCGAAUACCGGCAAGUACAGUACGGGAGACAGAGCACGGCGGGUGCUAACGUCCGUCGAAGAGGGAAACAACCCAGACCGCCAGCUAAGGUCCCUAACUAUGGCUAAGUGGGAAACGAAGUGGGAAGGCUUAGACAGUCAGGAGGUUGGCUUAGAAGCAGCCACCCUUUAAAAGAAAGCGUAAUAGCUCACUAGUCGAGUCGGCCUGCGCGGAAGAUGUAACGGGGCUCAAAGCCAUACACCGAAGCUGCGGAUGUGUACUUUUAGUACACAUGGUAGGAGAGCGUUCUGUAAGCCUGUGAAGGUGAGUUGUGAGGAAUGCUGGAGGUAUCAGAAGUGCGAAUGCUGACAUGAGUAGCGAUAAAGGGGGUGAAAAGCCCCCUCGCCGUAAGUCCAAGGGUUCCUGCGCAACGUUCAUCGGCGCAGGGUGAGUCGGCCCCUAAGGCGAGGCUGAGAUGCGUAGCUGAUGGGAAGCGGGUUAAUAUUCCUGUACUUCUGGUUACUGCGAUGGAGGGACGGAGAAGGCUAGGCCAGCUUGGCGUUGGUUGUCCAAGUUUAAGGUGGUAGGCUGAAAUCUUAGGUAAAUCCGGGGUUUCAAGGCCGAGAGCUGAUGACGAGUCGUCUUUUAGAUGACGAAGUGGUUGAUGCCAUGCUUCCAAGAAAAGCUUCUAAGCUUCAGGUAACCAGGAACCGUACCCCAAACCGACACAGGUGGUCGGGUAGAGAAUACCAAGGCGCUUGAGAGAACUCGGGUGAAGGAACUAGGCAAAAUGGCACCGUAACUUCGGGAGAAGGUGCGCCGGCUAGGGUGAAGGAUUUACUCCGUAAGCUCUGGCUGGUCGAAGAUACCAGGCCGCUGCGACUGUUUAUUAAAAACACAGCACUCUGCAAACACGAAAGUGGACGUAUAGGGUGUGACGCCUGCCCGGUGCCGGAAGGUUAAUUGAUGGGGUUAGCGCAAGCGAAGCUCUUGAUCGAAGCCCCGGUAAACGGCGGCCGUAACUAUAACGGUCCUAAGGUAGCGAAAUUCCUUGUCGGGUAAGUUCCGACCUGCACGAAUGGCGUAACGAUGGCGGCGCUGUCUCCACCCGAGACUCAGUGAAAUUGAAAUCGCUGUGAAGAUGCAGUGUAUCCGCGGCUAGACGGAAAGACCCCGUGAACCUUUACUGUAGCUUUGCACUGGACUUUGAGCCUGCUUGUGUAGGAUAGGUGGGAGGCUUUGAAGCGUGGACGCCAGUUCGCGUGGAGCCAUCCUUGAAAUACCACCCUGGCAUGCUUGAGGUUCUAACUCUGGUCCGUGAUCCGGAUCGAGGACAGUGUAUGGUGGGCAGUUUGACUGGGGCGGUCUCCUCCUAAAGAGUAACGGAGGAGUACGAAGGUGCGCUCAGACCGGUCGGAAAUCGGUCGCAGAGUAUAAAGGCAAAAGCGCGCUUGACUGCGAGACAGACACGUCGAGCAGGUACGAAAAGUAGGUCUUAGUGAUCCGGUGGUUCUGUAUGGAAGGGCCAUCGCUCAACGGAUAAAAGGUACUCCGGGGAUAACAGGCUGAUACCGCCCAAGAGUUCAUAUCGACGGCGGUGUUUGGCACCUCGAUGUCGGCUCAUCACAUCCUGGGGCUGAAGCCGGUCCCAAGGGUAUGGCUGUUCGCCAUUUAAAGUGGUACGCGAGCUGGGUUUAGAACGUCGUGAGACAGUUCGGUCCCUAUCUGCCGUGGACGUUUGAGAUUUGAGAGGGGCUGCUCCUAGUACGAGAGGACCGGAGUGGACGAACCUCUGGUGUUCCGGUUGUCACGCCAGUGGCAUUGCCGGGUAGCUAUGUUCGGAAAAGAUAACCGCUGAAAGCAUCUAAGCGGGAAACUUGCCUCAAGAUGAGAUCUCACUGGGAACUUGAUUCCCCUGAAGGGCCGUCGAAGACUACGACGUUGAUAGGCUGGGUGUGUAAGCGUUGUGAGGCGUUGAGCUAACCAGUACUAAUUGCCCGUGAGGCUUGACCAUAUAACACCCAAACA
This 2929-nucleotide ribosomal RNA is filed under the name Pseudomonas aeruginosa. Its description in RNAcentral is "23S ribosomal RNA". It matches the Rfam family "Bacterial large subunit ribosomal RNA". The record is from RNAcentral. Lineage: Bacteria; Pseudomonadati; Pseudomonadota; Gammaproteobacteria; Pseudomonadales; Pseudomonadaceae.